UAGUGAAAAAGAUUUUGCCAAAUUGUCAUAACUAAAUACGAAGUUUAAUACGUGUCUUCACCCUUUAAUUUAUGAUUGAGGAAAUGUCGUACUCUAGUUAUUUUUCAAUGCUUUACUUUAUAUAACAAUGACUCUACGUCAUAUCUGAUUAUCAGUUUAUGUCAUGUCGUCGAAGAAAAGUUUUGCGAUUUGCGAUUUUGCGAUUGAUAAUAUAAAUGAUAUAAAAUUGCAAAUGGAUCGUCUAACAAGCUGUGAUUUUUCAGUAUACAGUCUGAGUAUAAUUAUUUGAUCUCCAUAUACUUGAAACAUGUCACACAUACGUUGAAGCAUCAAACUAUUUCAGGUUAAACCUACUCCAUCUGUUACAGUUAUCUACAUUAGUGUGCAUGCAGGAACUUUCAGUAAUGUUUUGGCUUUAUUCAACUGCCAUCUUUGAUUUACAAUGUUAUGAAAACUCAUAUGUGGAUAUGCAAUUAACUUUGAUUGAACUGCCAUCUUUGUUUAUUUCCGUCUGGUCGUCUUGCUGUUCGUGAUGGAAAAAGAGCCCUUAUCGAAUACGUAAUACAGCAUGAUUGAAGAUGACUACUGUGACCGGUGAAAAAAAUUAUGGAAAUCAACCUCCUUCCGGAUGUUUUCGUACCAGGUGGAUUCUACGACAGCAUCCAGUAGAUUCCUGUGGCGGAGCAGCUUAAUGUGGUGUUGUUUUUGCGCCACUAUGCAGGAAAAACUACGGCGCAUACCGUAGGUGGUUUUGCGGGGUGGACAAACAAGACCUCAACAAUAACGGUGCGGAUUAGUGCGGAUAAUAUUAAUAAACAAGUGAUUUAAGUUAUACAUAUAUUGAUUCUAAUAAAAAUGAGUAGAACUAAUUUGUUUUUUUUUUUUCAAUUUUUCAUCUCGAAUGUACGUAUUUUUAAUUUUGGCAUAAAUAUAUAAUAUAAUGUCACAA
Armigeres subalbatus is the source of this 949-nucleotide long non-coding RNA. RefSeq lists it as uncharacterized. The transcript is spliced from 4 exons. NCBI's taxonomy places the organism in Eukaryota, Metazoa, Arthropoda, Insecta, Diptera, Culicidae. The record is from RefSeq and is a predicted model, not a curated record.